GAUGGGCUCGCGGCCUAUCAGCUUGUUGGUGGGGUGAUGGCCUACCAAGGCGACGACGGGUAGCCGGCCUGAGAGGGCGACCGGCCACACUGGGACUGAGACACGGCCCAGACUCCUACGGGAGGCAGCAGUGGGGAAUAUUGCACAAUGGGCGGAAGCCUGAUGCAGCGACGCCGCGUGAGGGAUGACGGCCUUCGGGUUGUAAACCUCUUUCAGCAGGGACGAAGCGUAAGUGACGGUACCUGCAGAAGAAGCGCCGGCCAACUACGUGCCAGCAGCCGCGGUAAGACGUAGGGCGCGAGCGUUGUCCGGAUUUAUUGGGCGUAAAGAGCUCGUAGGCGGCUUGUCGCGUCGACCGUGAAAACUUGGGG
Molecule: ribosomal RNA, 371 nt
Filed under: Micromonospora aurantiaca (nom. illeg.)
Lineage: Bacteria; Bacillati; Actinomycetota; Actinomycetes; Micromonosporales; Micromonosporaceae
Description: bacterial SSU rRNA
Rfam family: Bacterial small subunit ribosomal RNA
Source: RNAcentral